Molecule: ribosomal RNA, 529 nt
Filed under: Bradysia longimentula
Lineage: Eukaryota; Metazoa; Arthropoda; Insecta; Diptera; Sciaridae
Description: partial 16S ribosomal RNA
Source: RNAcentral
GUCUUUUUGACUUAAAUAUAAAGUCUAACCCCCCCAUUGAAAUAAAUUUAAAAGGCUGCGGUAUAUUGACCGUACAAAGGUAGCAUAAUCAUUAGUUUUUUAAUUGAAAACUUGUAUGAAUGGUUGAAUGAGAAAUUAACUUUUUUUUUAAAAAAAUUGAAUUUUACUUUUUAGUUAAAAGGCUAAAAUAAAUUUAAAAGACGAGAAGACCCUAUAGAGUUUAAUAAUAUAUUUAUAUAAAUAUAAAGGAUUAUUAAUAUUAUUAUAACUAAAUUUAUUUUAUUGGGGUGAUAAUAAAAUUUAAUUAACUUUUAUUUAUUAAAAAUAUUGAUAUAUAAUUAUAUAUAUAUAUAUAUAUAUAUAUUUGAUCCAAUUUUAUUGAUUAAAAAAUUAAAUUACCUUAGGGAUAACAGCGUAAUUUUUUUUUAAGUUCUUAUUAAUAAAAAAUUUUGCGACCUCGAUGUUGGAUUAAGAUUAAAUUUUAGGUGCAGCAGCUUAAAUUUUAAGUCUGUUCGACUUUUAAAUUCUU